Molecule: small nucleolar RNA, 108 nt
Filed under: Vigna angularis (adzuki bean)
Lineage: Eukaryota; Viridiplantae; Streptophyta; Magnoliopsida; Fabales; Fabaceae
Also listed under: 1 other name
Description: Plant small nucleolar RNA R71
Rfam family: Plant small nucleolar RNA R71
About the family: R71 is a member of the C/D box family of snoRNAs containing the C (UGAUGA) and D (CUGA) box motifs. Multiple nearly identical copies of this snoRNA have been identified in Arabidopsis, and it is thought to function as a 2'-O-ribose methylation guide for 18S ribosomal RNA.
Source: Rfam by way of RNAcentral
AUCUGAUGGUUAGGACAGGUGGAGCACAACCUCUUGAAGCGUUCCCAGUAUUCAAACAGAUUCUCCCCAGGCAGUUGUCUAAUUCCACUUAUUUCUUUUCUCAUAGCU